RNAcentral lists this small RNA (68 nucleotides) under Paenibacillus sp. P22. RNAcentral's name for it is "Flavo-1 RNA". Lineage: Bacteria; Bacillati; Bacillota; Bacilli; Caryophanales; Paenibacillaceae. The record is from RNAcentral.
UUUCAUUCCGGAUGGGAGCGGAUGCCGCAGAACGGAGAUCCCCAUUUCUUCGGACAGCCGGAAAGGGC